This 762-nucleotide ribosomal RNA is filed under the name uncultured fungus. RNAcentral describes it as "eukaryotic LSU rRNA". The stretch from base 286 to 439 matches the Rfam family "5.8S ribosomal RNA". Lineage: Eukaryota; Fungi. The record is from RNAcentral.
CUUGGUCAUUUAGAGGAGUAAAAGUCGUAACAAGGUUUCCGUAGGUGAACCUGUGGAAGGAUCAUUAUCGUACAAAAUGUGAGAGGGGCAUGCGAGGGCUGUCGCUGACUCAAAGUCGUGCACGCCCGAGUGUGUCGCCUCACAUAAUAAUCCAUCUCACCCUUUGUGCAUCACCGCGUGGGCACCCCUUUGGGAUCAUCUCGGAGGGGGCUCGCGUUUUCACACAAAACCCCCCUUUUAAAAGUGUAGAAUGACCUCAUUUAUGCGCUAACCCGCAAUCAAUACAACUUUCAACAACGGAUCUCUUGGCUCUCGCAUCGAUGAAGAACGCAGCGAAAUGCGAUACGUAAUGUGAAUUGCAGAAUUCAGUGAAUCAUCGAAUCUUUGAACGCACCUUGCGCCCCCUGGUAUUCCGAGGGGCACACCCGUUUGAGUGUCGUGAAAACCUCAACCUCCUUGGUUUCUUCUGGAGACCAAAGCAGGCUUGGACUUUGGAGGCCUUUGCUGGCACCUCUCGCCAGCUCCUCUUAAAUGAAUUAGCAGGGUCCUCUUUGCUGAUCCUCGACGUGUGAUAAGAUGUUUCCAUGUCUUGGUUUCUGGCUCUGUCACCUUUGGGACCCGCUUCUAACCGUCUUCAACCUUGCGUUGAGACAACGUUCGAGCAUGUCUCCCUUCUCGGGAAGCUCCCUCGACCCCACGAACCCUUGACCUCAAAUCGGGUGAGACUACCCGCUGAACUUAAGCAUAUCAAUAAGCGGAGGA